GACGAACGCUGGCGGCGUGCCUAACACAUGCAAGUCGAACGGAGUUACACUCCAGCUUGCUGGAGAACUAACUUAGUGGCGCACGGGUGAGUAACACGUGGGUAACCUACCCGAAAGACUGGGAUAACACCCCGAAAGGGGUGCUAAUACCGGAUACCUUUAUAGGUUUGCAUGAACUUAUAAAGAAAGUUUUUUCGCUUUCGGAUGGGCCCGCGUCCCAUUAGCUAGUUGGUGAGGUAACGGCUCACCAAGGCGACGAUGGGUAGCUGGUCUGAGAGGACGAUCAGCCACACUGGAACUGAGACACGGUCCAGACUCCUACGGGAGGCAGCAGUGGGGAAUCUUGCGCAAUGGGCGAAAGCCUGACGCAGCAACGCCGUGUGAACGAAGAAGGCCUUCGGGUCGUAAAGUUCUGUCAGGGGGGACGAAAUCUGACGGUACCCCCAGAGGAAGCCCCGGCUAACUACGUGCCAGCAGCCGCGGUAAUACGUAGGGGGCGAGCGUUGUCCGGAAUUACUGGGCGUAAAGGGCGUGUAGGCGGUUUAUCAAGUCAGGUGUGAAAUUCCAGGGCUCAACCCUGGGCGUGCACUUGAAACUGGUAGGCUUGAGUGCAGGAGAGGAAAGUGGAAUUCCCAGUGUAGCGGUGAAAUGCGUAGAUAUUGGGAGGAACACCAGUGACGAAGGCGACUUUCUGGCCUGUAACUGACGCUGAGGCGCGAAAGCUAGGGGAGCAAACAGG
Molecule: ribosomal RNA, 739 nt
Filed under: uncultured bacterium
Lineage: Bacteria
Description: bacterial SSU rRNA
Rfam family: Bacterial small subunit ribosomal RNA
Source: RNAcentral